Molecule: long non-coding RNA, 1030 nt
Filed under: Nicotiana benthamiana
Lineage: Eukaryota; Viridiplantae; Streptophyta; Magnoliopsida; Solanales; Solanaceae
Description: long non-coding RNA (NBEN_LNC040468)
Source: RNAcentral
AAAUCUGAGGGCUGCCCUAAUUUGCUCCAAUAAAAGAGCACCAAUUUCCUUGAGAGAGGGGGUCUUGAAUUUUCAUCUAAGAAAUUCCACAAGAAAUUGAUUUUUUCCUCUUUAUUUUAGCUUCAAAUUAGUUCAGCAUUCAUAUACACAAAAAAAAAAAAUACAUACAGAAAUGAAAAACAACAAAAAAAUUUCACUUAGUCAUUGUUUUUGGAUAGAUUCUGGAUUUUUCUUUGGGAUUCUGCCUUACAGCUUGGUUUGAGGUUUAUUUUGAGUUGAUCUUGGUUUGUUCUUGCUGGGUCGUGGUUUUUCUGCUUGUUUUUUUCAAGCUCCUGGGGUUUCAAAAGGAGUUUUGGGGUUUUAAAAGUAUUCUUGUGGGUUACUGCUGGGUAUUAGCUGUUUGUACCGGAUUAUUUGACUGUGUUGAACUAAUUCCAAUCGUUGAAUUCACUUUGGCCUGCUGCUGUUGCAUUGAUUUGCUGACCUUUUCCUCCAUUCUCUUAUUUUACUCCCAUUUCCAGGUAUACUCUUGAAUCUUCCUGAUGUAGCCUUGAGUUGAAGUGAACUGGCAGUUGGGUUCAAACUCAGACAAUUUGCGUUGUCAUGUGGAAAUGGUCAAAUGAAAUAAAUGCUUAAGUUCUUGUGAUUGUGUAAUAGUACUGUUUAUUCGUCUGAUAUUAGCUUCUGUAUAAAUUCUUAGCUUCAGAAAUGACAUUAAGCUGAAGGUGGACUCUGAACGAUUAAGCUGUAAUAGGACUGCUUUAAGACUGUUGAAAUCUGGAUUAUGAAUUGAAUGUGAUUGCAUGUGAGUGGGUGAGUUAGUAAUAAGAGCAGCAUAGCUUAAUAUGUUGUUGUCAGUUAUAAAACUGGUUUAGAUAGCUUGGUAUUUUAAUGUUGAAUUUGACAUAUCCAGUUUUCUGCCUAGAUGUUAGUGGUGAUAUCAAACUCAUGUAUUAAUCAUUAAUUAAAACUGUAUAACAUUGAAGACCUAAGGAAAGUGUAAAUAAGAACAUGAAAUGAGAAAAGUGAG